CCUACGGGCGGCAGCAGUAGGGAAUCUUCCACAAUGGGCGAAAGCCUGAUGGAGCAACGCCGCGUGGGUGAAGAAGGUCUUCGGAUCGUAAAACCCUGUUGUUAGAGAAGAAAGUGCGUGAGAGUAACUGUUCACGUUUCGACGGUAUCUAACCAGAAAGCCACGGCUAACUACGUGCCAGCAGCCGCGGUAAUACGUAGGUGGCAAGCGUUAUCCGGAUUGAUUGGGCGUAAAGGGAACGCAGGCGGUCUUGUAAGUCUGAUGUGAAAGCCUUCGGCUUAACCGGAGUAGUGCAUUGGAAACUGGGAGACUUGAGUGCAGAAGAGGAGAGUGGAACUCCAUGUGUAGCGGUGAAAUGCGUAGAGAUAUGGAAGAACACCAGUGGCGAAAGCGGCUCUCUGGUCUGUAACUGACGCUGAGGUUCGAAAGCGUGGGUAGCAAACAGGAUUAGAUACCCCAGUAGUC
Molecule: ribosomal RNA, 465 nt
Filed under: uncultured bacterium
Lineage: Bacteria
Description: partial 16S ribosomal RNA
Rfam family: Bacterial small subunit ribosomal RNA
Source: RNAcentral